CACGUAGGCGGACUCUUAAGUCGGGGGUGAAAGCCCAGGGCUCAACCCUGGAACUGCCUUCGAUACUGGGAGUCUUGAGUAUGGUAGAGGUUGGUGAAACUGCGAGUGUAGAGGUGAAAUUCGUAGAUAUUCGCAAGAACACCAGUGGCGAAGGCGGCCAACUGGACCAUUACUGACGCUGAGGUGCGAAAGCGUGGGGAGCAAACA
RNAcentral lists this ribosomal RNA (207 nucleotides) under uncultured bacterium. RNAcentral's name for it is "partial 16S ribosomal RNA". It matches the Rfam family "Bacterial small subunit ribosomal RNA", at positions 568 to 774 of the family's 1533-position model. The record is from RNAcentral.